GACCCCAUCGUCUAGUGGUCAGGACACUGGCCUUUCACGCCGGCGACGGGGGUUCGAAUCCCCCUGGGGUCGCCA
Molecule: transfer RNA, 75 nt
Filed under: Myxococcales bacterium
Lineage: Bacteria; Pseudomonadati; Myxococcota; Myxococcia; Myxococcales
Description: tRNA-Glu
Rfam family: tRNA
About the family: Transfer RNA (tRNA) molecules are approximately 80 nucleotides in length. Their secondary structure includes four short double-helical elements and three loops (D, anti-codon, and T loops). Further hydrogen bonds mediate the characteristic L-shaped molecular structure. tRNAs have two regions of fundamental functional importance: the anti-codon, which is responsible for specific mRNA codon recognition, and the 3' end, to which the tRNAs corresponding amino acid is attached (by aminoacyl-tRNA synthetases). tRNAs cope with the degeneracy of the genetic code in two manners: having more than one tRNA (with a specific anti-codon) for a particular amino acid; and 'wobble' base-pairing, i.e. permitting non-standard base-pairing at the 3rd anti-codon position.
Source: RNAcentral